RNAcentral lists this ribosomal RNA (735 nucleotides) under Halobacillus sp. CUA-641. Its description in RNAcentral is "bacterial SSU rRNA". It matches the Rfam family "Bacterial small subunit ribosomal RNA", at positions 49 to 764 of the family's 1533-position model. Lineage: Bacteria; Bacillati; Bacillota; Bacilli; Caryophanales; Bacillaceae. The record is from RNAcentral.
UCGAGCGCGGGAAGCGAGUGGAUCCCUUCGGGGUGAAGCUCGUGGAACGAGCGGCGGACGGGUGAGUAACACGUGGGCAACCUGCCUGUAAGAUCGGAAUAACCCCGGGAAACCGGGGCUAAUGCCGGGUAAUACUUUCUUUCGCAUGAAGGAAAGUUGAAAGAUGGCUUCUUGCUAUCACUUACAGAUGGGCCCGCGGCGCAUUAGCUAGUUGGUGAGGUAACGGCUCACCAAGGCGACGAUGCGUAGCCGACCUGAGAGGGUGAUCGGCCACACUGGGACUGAGACACGGCCCAGACUCCUACGGGAGGCAGCAGUAGGGAAUCUUCCGCAAUGGACGAAAGUCUGACGGAGCAACGCCGCGUGAACGAUGAAGGUCUUCGGAUCGUAAAGUUCUGUUGUUAGGGAAGAACAAGUACCGUGCGAAUAGAGCGGUACCUUGACGGUACCUAACGAGGAAGCCCCGGCUAACUACGUGCCAGCAGCCGCGGUAAUACGUAGGGGGCAAGCGUUGUCCGGAAUUAUUGGGCGUAAAGCGCGCGCAGGCGGUUCCUUAAGUCUGAUGUGAAAGCCCACGGCUCAACCGUGGAGGGUCAUUGGAAACUGGGGAACUUGAGGACAGAAGAGGAGAGUGGAAUUCCACGUGUAGCGGUGAAAUGCGUAGAUAUGUGGAGGAACACCAGUGGCGAAGGCGACUCUCUGGUCUGUUUCUGACGCUGAAGUGCGAAAGCGUGG